AGUGAACGCUGGCGGUAGGCCUAACACAUGCAAGUCGAACGGCAGCACAGUAAGAGCUUGCUCUUACGGGUGGCGAGUGGCGGACGGGUGAGGAAUACAUCGGAAUCUACUUUUUCGUGGGGGAUAACGUAGGGAAACUUACGCUAAUACCGCAUACGACCUACGGGUGAAAGCAGGGGAUCUUCGGACCUUGCGCGAUUGAAUGAGCCGAUGUCGGAUUAGCUAGUUGGCGGGGUAAAGGCCCACCAAGGCGACGAUCCGUAGCUGGUCUGAGAGGAUGAUCAGCCACACUGGAGCUGAGACACGGUCCAGACUCCUACGGGAGGCAGCAGUGGGCAAUAUUGGACAAUGGGCGCAAGCCUGAUCCAGCCAUACCGCGUGGGUGAAGGAGGCCUUCGGGUUGUAAAGCCCUUUUGUUGGGAAAGAAAAGCAGCAGGUUAAUACCCCGCUGUUCUGACGGUACCCAAAGAAUAAGCACCGGCUAACUUCGUG
RNAcentral lists this ribosomal RNA (492 nucleotides) under uncultured bacterium. RNAcentral describes it as "partial 16S ribosomal RNA". It matches the Rfam family "Bacterial small subunit ribosomal RNA", at positions 29 to 507 of the family's 1533-position model. The record is from RNAcentral.